Pomacea canaliculata is the source of this 438-nucleotide long non-coding RNA. RefSeq lists it as uncharacterized. The record is from RefSeq and is a predicted model, not a curated record. Lineage: Eukaryota; Metazoa; Mollusca; Gastropoda; Architaenioglossa; Ampullariidae. The transcript is spliced from 3 exons.
CAGUGCGGGUCAUCGCAACCUUGAACCUGUGCCGCCAUUUUGGGGGCGCGUGCGGUGCUGGGUGUGAGCGGUACAUCGUUCAUAAAUGGAGGCUCCCUCUGUGUGCCAACAGCAACCACAAGUGCUGCAUACCUGACACAGCGUAUAGCGGUGCACCCAUCAACACUGAAGCAACCACCACGACAACAGAGACGACUCCAGAAACAACAACACCACCGGUUACAGUGUCAACAACCACAGCAGGACAAGGAUCAACAUCGUGGGUAGAAUAUCCAUCCGACAAUGGAGAAGCAGCCAGCAGCGCAGCAUCUUUGGACGAGUGUGGUUCCAUGAACCGGACUCGCCGGAGGAAGAGGAUAGUGGGAGGAAGUGUCUCCCCACCCGGUGCCUGGCCCUGGCUCCUGGCUCUCAGGUCCCUGAUAGGGGCUCACGCGUGCU